Xenopus laevis (African clawed frog) is the source of this 563-nucleotide long non-coding RNA. RefSeq lists it as uncharacterized. Lineage: Eukaryota; Metazoa; Chordata; Amphibia; Anura; Pipidae. The record is from RefSeq and is a predicted model, not a curated record. The transcript has 2 exons.
CAACAAUCCCAGAACACUACUGAAACCUCCCGCUAAACUGUUUUACCUGCACGGUGUUAGCUUCCUGGCUUCCAGAAAAUCCCAAAUCUCAUCGCGCGAGACUGGCGUCACGACGACUACACGUAAGCGCACAAUUUCGCCGUCCCCGGAGACAGAGAAGAGGGCUGAUGGAUUCCACAGUUAAACAUGCAUUUCCUACCUGAUCCCCAUCUUACAGUCCAUAACACAAGGCUCAUCAAAGUUAUUCAGCAGAUCAUCCAGUUGUAUAUAACUUUCUCCAUCUCGCUCAACCACACCAUGGAAUGCAGGGGCACAGUGAACCAAGGAGUCCUUCAUUACCAGCUCAAACGCAUUCUUCUCAUUUUCUGAGUAGCGUUUUAGAAUUGUACCAUUAGCUGCUGCUUUAAAACUCCCUAUGGAAAGAACAACAACAAGUAAGAAAUGCAGCUAUGCUGUUUCCAUCACUUAAUAGCAUACCACAUUCACUAUAAUACAGUACAGUAGAGCAGAGGGUUACAUAGAUACUUUUAAUUAGUGGCUUUUUUGUUGGAUUAUAUAAUGAU